CAGCAGUAGCCGCGGUAAUACGGAGGGUGCAAGCGUUAAUCGGAAUUACUGGGCGUAAAGCGUGCGUAGGCGGCUUCUUAAGUCGGAUGUGAAAUCCCUGAGCUUAACUUAGGAAUUGCAUUCGAUACUGGGAAGCUAGAGUAUGGGAGAGGAUGGUAGAAUUCCAGGUGUAGCGGUGAAAUGCGUAGAGAUCUGGAGGAAUACCGAUGGCGAAGGCAGCCAUCUGGCCUAAUACUGACGCUGAGGUACGAAAGCAUGGGGAGCAAACAGGAUUAGAUACCCCUGUAGUCCCUGUCUCUUAUAC
This 304-nucleotide ribosomal RNA is filed under the name uncultured bacterium. Its description in RNAcentral is "partial 16S ribosomal RNA". It matches the Rfam family "Bacterial small subunit ribosomal RNA", at positions 506 to 807 of the family's 1533-position model. The record is from RNAcentral.